RNAcentral lists this ribosomal RNA (36 nucleotides) under Metarhizium anisopliae. RNAcentral's name for it is "partial 18S ribosomal RNA". RNAcentral also lists the same sequence under 1 other name. Lineage: Eukaryota; Fungi; Ascomycota; Sordariomycetes; Hypocreales; Clavicipitaceae. The record is from RNAcentral.
UCUCCGUUGGUGAACCAGCGGAGGGAUCAUUACCGA